This is a small nucleolar RNA of Ipomoea nil (Japanese morning glory), 126 nucleotides long. The record is from Rfam. NCBI's taxonomy places the organism in Eukaryota, Viridiplantae, Streptophyta, Magnoliopsida, Solanales, Convolvulaceae.
GAGCAAGUGCGUCUGAUUUAAAAUGGCGAAAUCUCUUGCAUUGAAGGUUGGCAAAAUCAUGUUGCGAUUCUCCGUGCCUUUCAAAUUUCAUCGUUUUGAUUACGGCCUCGAACAAGUCGCUACAUU